Molecule: ribosomal RNA, 371 nt
Filed under: uncultured bacterium
Lineage: Bacteria
Description: bacterial SSU rRNA
Rfam family: Bacterial small subunit ribosomal RNA
Source: RNAcentral
GUAGGGUGCAAGCGUUGUCCGGAAUUACUGGGCGUAAAGAGUUCGUAGGCGGUUUGUCGCGUCGUUUGUGAAAACCAGCAGCUCAACUGCUGGCUUGCAGGCGAUACGGGCAGACUUGAGUACUGCAGGGGAGACUGGAAUUCCUGGUGUAGCGGUGAAAUGCGCAGAUAUCAGGAGGAACACCGGUGGCGAAGGCGGGUCUCUGGGCAGUAACUGACGCUGAGGAACGAAAGCGUGGGUAGCGAACAGGAUUAGAUACCCUGGUAGUCCACGCCGUAAACGGUGGGCGCCAGGUGUGGGUUCCUUCCACGGGAUCCGUGCCGUAGCUAACGCAUUAAGCGCCCCGCCUGGGGAGUACGGCCGCAAGGCUA